RNAcentral lists this ribosomal RNA (458 nucleotides) under uncultured bacterium. Its description in RNAcentral is "partial 16S ribosomal RNA". It matches the Rfam family "Bacterial small subunit ribosomal RNA", at positions 338 to 795 of the family's 1533-position model. The record is from RNAcentral.
CCUACGGGCGGCAGCAGUGAGGAAUAUUGGUCAAUGGGCGAGAGCCUGAACCAGCCAAGUCGCGUGAGGGAGUACUGCCCUAUGGGUUGUAAACCUCUUUUGUCGGGGAGCAAAAGCCGGACGUGUCCGGCUGUGAGAGUACCCGAAGAAACAGCAUCGGCUAACUCCGUGCCAGCAGCCGCGGUAAUACGGAGGAUGCGAGGGUUAUCCGGAUUUAUUGGGUUUAAGGGGUGCGCAGGCGGAUUUUUAAGUCAGCGGUAAAAUCGUGGGGCUCAACCCCAUCCAGCCGUUGAAACUGGGGAUCUAGAGUGUGCGAGAGGUAUGCGGAAUGCGUGGUGUAGCGGUGAAAUGCAUAGAUAUCACGCAGAACCUCGAUUGCGAAGGCAGCAUACCGGUGCACAACUGACGCUCAGGCACGAAAGCGUGGGUAUCGAACAGGAUUAGAUACCCCAGUAGUC